UGCCAGCAGCCUCGGUAAUACGGAGGGGGUUAGCGUUGUUCGGAAUUACUGGGCGUAAAGCGCACGUAGGCGGAUUAGUAAGUUAGAGGUGAAAGCCCUGGGCUCAACCUAGGAACUGCAUCCAAAACUAACUCACUAGAGUACGAUAGAGGGAGGUAGAAUUCAUAGUGUAGCGGUGGAAUGCGUAGAUAUUAUGAAGAAUACCAGUGGCGAAGGCGGCCUCCUGGAUCUGUACUGACACUGAGGUGCGAAAGCGUGGGUAGCGAACAGGAUUAGAUA
RNAcentral lists this ribosomal RNA (279 nucleotides) under uncultured bacterium. RNAcentral's name for it is "partial 16S ribosomal RNA". It matches the Rfam family "Bacterial small subunit ribosomal RNA", at positions 506 to 784 of the family's 1533-position model. The record is from RNAcentral.